Syngnathoides biaculeatus (alligator pipefish) is the source of this 546-nucleotide long non-coding RNA. RefSeq lists it as uncharacterized. The record is from RefSeq and is a predicted model, not a curated record. The transcript is spliced from 3 exons. NCBI's taxonomy places the organism in Eukaryota, Metazoa, Chordata, Actinopteri, Syngnathiformes, Syngnathidae.
AGGGGAGAAAUUAACCAAAGAACAUCAGAGAACACUGUGUUGUCUCGUGUGUCCUUACAGAGACAAAAAUCGAGGUCAGCUUCAUACACGGGUAUUGGUGGCAACACUCAAAACUCAGCCCCCAAAAGCCCGGUUGGCAGCGAGUGGGACUACAAAGUUGUCCAUUUGUGCAUCCGUCCUACCGGGCCCACUUGAUGAGGUAGGGCAGGUGGUUGAGCAAGCUGAAUGUGUAGAAGGAGUAGCGGAUGAUCUCGGUGACAGUCCAAGCGCUGACAAAGAGCAGAACGCUGUCCUCGCUCUGCACCUGGACACCGAUCAGAAGCACCCGGCAAAGGAGUCACAACAAAACAAGGAGCAAUCUACCCAUCAACCAGUCAAUCAACCCACACAGCAAAUCAACGGCAUCUGCACUGAGUGUGUUCAUUUCUGCAAGGCGACAUCAUUGACUUACGUGCUCACGACUCUAUGACACCACCUACAGCGUAUCAAAAGUAUUCAUCAAGUGGUAGUGUCAUCAUCCUGUGAUGAUUCAUAUUUGUGUGUAUG